Molecule: ribosomal RNA, 485 nt
Filed under: uncultured soil bacterium
Lineage: Bacteria
Description: bacterial SSU rRNA
Rfam family: Bacterial small subunit ribosomal RNA
Source: RNAcentral
GGUGAGUAACACGUGGGUAACCUACCCCUGAGUGGGGAAUAACGACCCGAAAGGGUCGCUAAUACCGCAUGUGCGAGAGCAAAGCUGCGCUCGGGGAGGGGCCUGCGGCCCAUCAGGUAGUUGGUAGGGUAAUAGCCUACCAAGCCGAUGACGGGUAGCUGAUCUGAGAGGAUGACCAGCCACACUGGCACUGAGACACGGGCCAUACUCCUACGGGAGGCAGCAGCGAGGAAUAUUGCGCAAUGGGCGAAAGCCUGACGCAGUAACGCCGCGUGCGGGACGAAGGCCUUCGGGUCGUAAACCGCUUUUCGGAGGGACGAGGGACGGUACCUCUGGAAUAAGUCUCGGCUAACUACGUGCCAGCAGCCGCGGUAAAACGUAGGAGGCGAGCGUUAUCCGGAUUCACUGGGCGUAAAGCGCGUGUAGGUGGUUCGUUAAGUCGCUGGUGAAAGCCCCUGGCUCAACUGGGGGAGGUCUGGCGAAAC